AUUUGGGAAAAAUUGAUCAUUUAAAUUCUAGCCCAUUUGUCUUUCAAAUUCAGCCACAAUUUUAAACCCAAUUUCCCAAUCCAAUAACCCAACCCAAUCUUAUAACUAACCCGACCCACUUUCCCCCUUUUUGAUCCUGGCCGUUGAUCUCAUAGAUCAACAGCCCAUGUUGUUUCUUAACAUAAUUAAACACCCACAACCCUAACCCUAAUCAUUUCUCUCAACCAGCCGACUUUGAAUCCCUAAACACCCUCUAUCCCCUUCAAACCCUAAGCAUCUCUAGCUUUAUUUCCCCGGCAUUCAUGGCUGCUCAAGCCAUCAAGCACCUCUAUCCGUCAUUUAUCACCAUCCUUGGCCUUUGUGUUCGAAGAUUGAGACCUUGUUUCGAGGGUAACUGGACCAGAGGUCCUUUAUUGGGGUUUCACGGCCAUGUCAGGCUUCUCUCCGGCAAGCUUUUGAAGCCUUGGGUCCUUACCAAGCUCCGAAUGAGCCGUCCAGCCUUGUUUCGAGGGUAACUGGACCAGAGAUCCUUUAGUGGGGUUUCACGGCCAUGUCAGGCUUCACGGCCAUGUCAGGCUUCUCUCCGGUAAGCUUUUGAAGCCUUGGGUCCUUACCAAGCUCCGAUGAGCUGUCCAGGCUUUUCUCGCCAUUUCUGAGGCCUUUUAUGAAAACCCUAAUCGAUUUGAGGUUUUUAUUCCUGUCUCUCUCUAUUAUUUUACGAUCUUCUCUGAGUUUUGUUUGUUUUCUAAAGGUUUUUAAGUACCUCUCAUCUUUUCUUCGCCUGGUUGUGUUUCCAAAGACUGUCCGUCUUUUUGAAAUCUAGAGUUUCUAUGAACUGUUUGAUUCUUUGAUUUUGUUGUUUUAUGUGUUCUUCUUCGUGAUUUUGAUCAUCUUCUACUUUAGUUUUAAACAUUUUAC
RNAcentral lists this long non-coding RNA (918 nucleotides) under Nicotiana benthamiana. Its description in RNAcentral is "long non-coding RNA (NBEN_LNC027287)". Lineage: Eukaryota; Viridiplantae; Streptophyta; Magnoliopsida; Solanales; Solanaceae. The record is from RNAcentral.